GACGAACGCUGGCGGCGUGCUUAACACAUGCAAGUCGAACGGAAAGGCCCUGCUUUUGUGGGGUGCUCGAGUGGCGAACGGGUGAGUAACACGUGAGUAACCUGCCCUUGACUUUGGGAUAACUUCAGGAAACUGGGGCUAAUACCGGAUAGGAGCUCCUGCUGCAUGGGGGGGGUUGGAAAGUUUCGGCGGUUGGGGAUGGACUCGCGGCUUAUCAGCUUGUUGGUGGGGGAGUGGCUUACCAAGGCUUUGACGGGUAGCCGGCCUGAGAGGGUGACCGGCCACAUUGGGACUGAGAUACGGCCCAGACUCCUACGGGAGGCAGCAGUGGGGAAUAUUGCACAAUGGGCGGAAGCCUGAUGCAGCAACGCCGCGUGCGGGAUGACGGCCUUCGGGUUGUAAACCGCUUUCGCCUGUGACGAAGCGUGAGUGACGGUAAUGGGUAAAGAAGCACCGGCUAACUACGUG
Molecule: ribosomal RNA, 468 nt
Filed under: uncultured bacterium
Lineage: Bacteria
Description: partial 16S ribosomal RNA
Rfam family: Bacterial small subunit ribosomal RNA
Source: RNAcentral